Non-coding RNA from Thiobacillus sp. 65-1059, 84 nucleotides. The record is from Rfam. NCBI's taxonomy places the organism in Bacteria, Pseudomonadati, Pseudomonadota, Betaproteobacteria, Nitrosomonadales, Thiobacillaceae.
GCCCGGAUGGUGAAAUUGGUAGACACAAGGGACUUAAAAUCCCUCGCCAGCGAUGGCGUACCGGUUCGAUUCCGGUUCCGGGCA